UCUUUUGGGUGUCACUAGAUUAUGAAAAGACCAUAUACUGACGUUUAUGGUGCAUUUAACGAAAGCAGUAAUGAAAAAUGGUCCUUGCUGCACAGGAAAAUAUCUGACAAAGGUCAAACAAUGGCUUGGUGGGACAAACCCAAAUCCUUACAAGUGAACGAGGGAGGAAAAGAGGAAGGGAGUUGUUGCUAGAUAAAUAUCACUUAAUGGGCCAUAAUGGUGCUUAAUGACAGUUGAGAGCUUCCUACCAAACACAAGGAAUGACAGGAACAAACAAAUGAUGAAAACAAUCUUGAGAACUAUGUCCACCAUCUUGUGAGGCCCCUGAUGUGACGCACAUGAUAAAGGUCACCGCUGAAGGGCCCCCUGCUCUCGUUUCUACAGCUAUUGUGUACAGAGAGUCGGCAGAACCUUUUGUGCUUUCAAUGAAAUCGCUUCCAAACAUCGGGAAAGAAAUUUGCAAAUUUAGAGGAAGACUUCACUGACGUUUGAUCUUCUGAUUCAACACAGAAAAUUACAAAAGAAGAAUCCCAGCUGGCUUUCUGAACGGGACUAAAGGACCAUCAUGACAGCAAAGAUAGAAAUCCUCGAUCCCUCAGCUUUAUCAGCUGUCACCUCUGCUGUGAGCUAUGAUCCCAAAUCAGAGACAGUGACCUUACCAGGAGGAGUCGUUUCUGUGGCCGGCAUCACUGUGGUGACUGGAGGUGCUGAGCUAUCGUGUGGUUCCUGCAUGUUGGCCUUUGGGUUCUGGGGAACUCUGACUGGGCUGAGCUGUGUUGCUGUGGGACUGUGGGACAAACUGCAGCUGUCAGACGGACGGACCUCUCAUUUACUGGUGCUGGGUUGUGUGAUCCUGGGCCUCAGCUUCGGGGUGGUGGCCAGCGUGGCAUGGUACUACCUCCUGACAAAGACAAAAAGAAAGAAGACCCGAGAGCAGAGAAAAGAUGAAAAAGUGGUUCUCGUGCAGGAGAGUGAGAGGGUCAUUAAAACAGUCACAGUCUGAAAGGGGAACCUGAUGAUGCAUCUGAAAACAUCAUGGAAUAGUUAGGGUUCCUAUUUUGGUCUAAUCUUUUUCUCUGAGUCACUUACACAUAAUGACAAAUGUUCACUUUUUAUACAUAUAUUUUAUUGUAAUAAGGCAGCAAAACAGUAAGUAAACCAACAAAAUUCACCUAUAAAAACAAAUCAAAGGAAAAAUUCAAAACACAAAGAUAACUAACUAAAACAAACACACCAAGGAUGAGCAACAACUCAACAAAAAUAAUCAGUGGUUCCUGUUAUUGUGCGAGUGGCAUACAGGCAGACGGGAAACCACAACCAAGACCCCCAGAGCAAGAUUAUCCAAAUUUCACUCCCUUACAUUAUGGGGAAAUUUCCCCACGUGAGAGGUGCUUCAAAUAGUUUAUCAGAGGCUUUGGAGGAGCCUGCGAGUGUGUUUUUUGUUUCAAAAGAAAUAGGAAGUAUUUCUAAUUUAGUGCAUAAUACAUGAUUGUCAAUGUUUGUAUGUACCAUGUAGACAUGAGUAUAUAUUAUGUACAUAUGUAUUUUGUUGACAAACAUCCAU
Long non-coding RNA from Thalassophryne amazonica, 1564 nucleotides. RefSeq lists it as uncharacterized. NCBI's taxonomy places the organism in Eukaryota, Metazoa, Chordata, Actinopteri, Batrachoidiformes, Batrachoididae. The transcript is spliced from 2 exons. The record is from RefSeq and is a predicted model, not a curated record.